GAAUUGAAAGGGGCUGCUCCUAGUACGAGAGGACCGGAGUGGACGAACCUCUGGUGUUCGGGUUGUGUCGCCAGACGCAUUGCCCGGUAGCUAAGUUCGGGAUCGAUAACCGCUGAAAGCAUCUAAGCGGGAAGCGAGCCUUGAGAUGAGUUCUCCCUGAUACUUUAAGUAUCCUAAAGGGUUGUCGUAGACUACGACGUUGAUAGGCAGGGUGUGUAAGCGUUGUGAGGCGUUGAGCUAACCUGUACUAAUUGCCCGUGAGGCUUAACCAUACAACACCCAAGGGGUUU
Molecule: ribosomal RNA, 290 nt
Filed under: Vibrio parahaemolyticus
Lineage: Bacteria; Pseudomonadati; Pseudomonadota; Gammaproteobacteria; Vibrionales; Vibrionaceae
Description: partial 23S ribosomal RNA
Rfam family: Bacterial large subunit ribosomal RNA
Source: RNAcentral